This 497-nucleotide ribosomal RNA is filed under the name uncultured bacterium. RNAcentral describes it as "partial 16S ribosomal RNA". It matches the Rfam family "Bacterial small subunit ribosomal RNA", at positions 28 to 507 of the family's 1533-position model. The record is from RNAcentral.
GAUGAACGCUGGCGGCGUGCCUAAUACAUGCAAGUCGAGCGAACGGACGAGAAGCUUGCUUCUCUGAUGUUAGCGGCGGACGGGUGAGUAACACGUGGAUAACCUACCUAUAAGACUGGGAUAACUUCGGGAAACCGGAGCUAAUACCGGAUGAUAUUUUGAGCCGCAUGGUUCAAAAGUGAAAGACGGUCUUGCUGUCACUUAUAGAUGGAUCCGCGCUGCAUUAGCUAGUUGGUAAGGUAACGGCUUACCAAGGCAACGAUGCAUAGCCGACCUGAGAGGGUGAUCGGCCACACUGGAACUGAGACACGGUCCAGACUCCUACGGGAGGCAGCAGUAGGGAAUCUUCCGCAAAGGGCGAAAGCCUGACGGAGCAACGCCGCGUGAGUGAUGAAGGUCUUCGGAUCGUAAAACUCUGUUAUUAGGGAAGAACAUAUGUGUAAGUAACUGUGCACAUCUUGACGGUACCUAAUCAGAAAGCCACGGCUAACUACGUG